Molecule: ribosomal RNA, 874 nt
Filed under: uncultured bacterium
Lineage: Bacteria
Description: bacterial SSU rRNA
Rfam family: Bacterial small subunit ribosomal RNA
Source: RNAcentral
UACGUGCCAGCAGCCGCGGUAAUACGUAGGGAGCGAGCGUAUCCGGAUCAUUGGGCGUAAAGCGCGCGUAGGCGGCUCGGGAAGCGGAACCUCUAACCUUGGGGCUCACCUCAAGCCGGGUUCCGAACUCCCGGGCUCGAGUCAGGUAGGGGCAGGCGGAAUUCCCGUGUAGCGGUGAAAUGCGCAGAUAUCGGGAGGAACACCGAUGGCGAAGGCAGCCUGCUGGCCUAAAGACUGACGCUGAGGUGCGAAAGCGUGGGGAGCGAACAGGAUUAGAUACCCUGUAGUCCACGCCGUAAACGAUGGGCGCUAGGUGUGGGGGAGCGUAUCCCCCGUGCCGCAGUAACGCAUUAAGCGCCCCGCCUGGGGAGUACGGCCGCAAGGCUAAAACUCAAAGGAAUUACGGGGGCCCGCACAAGCAGCGGAGCAUGUGGCUUAAUUCGAAGCAACGCGAAGAACCUACCAGGGCUUGACAUGCGCAUGAAGCGGCGGAGACGCCGUGGCCGAGAGGAGUGCGCGCGGUGGUGCAUGGCUGUCGUCAGCUCGUGUCGUGAGAUGUUGGGUUAAGUCCCGCAACGACGCAACCCCUGCCGUAUGUUGCCAGCAUUCAGUUGGGGACUCAUAUGGGACUGCCGGCGCAAGCCGGAGGAAGGUGGGGAUGACGUCAAGUCAUCAUGCCCCUUAUGCCCUGGGCUGCCACGUGCUACAAUGGCCGGUACAGAGGGUUGCCACUCGGCGACGAGGAGCGGAUCCCCCAAGCCGGUCCCAGUUCGGAUCGCAGGCUGCAACCCGCCUGCGUGAAGCCGGAGUUGCUAUAAUCGCGGAUCAGCAUGCCGCGGUGAAUACGUUCCCGGGCCUUGCACACACCGCCCGU